AUGGGGUGCAGCAGGGGCGAAACCUUUACACUGCACGCAAGUGCGAUAAGGGGACCCCGAGUGCGAGGGCAUAUCGUCCUCGCUUUUUCCGACCGUAAGGUGGUCGGCGAAUAAGAGCUGGGCAAGACCGGUGCCAGCCGCCGCGGUAAUACCGGCAGCUCAAGUGAUGACCGAUUUUAUUGGGCCUAAAGCGUCCGUAGCCGGCCACGAAGGUCCAUCGGGAAAUCCGCCAGCUCAACUGGCGGGCGUCCGGUGGAAACCACGUGGCUUGGGAUCGGAAGGCUCGAGGGGUACGUCCGGGGUAGGAGUGAAAUCCCGUAAUCCUGGACGGACCGCCGAUGGCGAAAGCACCUCGAGAAGACGGAUCCGACAGUGAGGGACGAAAGCUGGGGUCUCGAACCGGAUUAGAUACCCGGGUAGUCCCAGCCGUAAACAAUGCCAAUUAGGUGUGGCACCGACUACGAGUCGGUGCUGUGCCGUAGGGAAGCCGAUAAAUUGGCCGCCUGGGAAGUACGUCCGCAAGGAUGAAACUUAAAGGAA
This 540-nucleotide ribosomal RNA is filed under the name uncultured archaeon. RNAcentral describes it as "bacterial SSU rRNA". It matches the Rfam family "Archaeal small subunit ribosomal RNA", at positions 325 to 864 of the family's 1478-position model. The record is from RNAcentral.